GACAGGGGAUGCAAGUGUUAUCCGGAAUUAUUGGGCGUAAAGCGUCUGCAGGUGGAGAUUUCAGUCUUUUGUUAAAACUCCUGGCUUAACCAGGAAUCUGCAAAAGAAACUAUUUCUCUUGAGUAUGGUAGAGGUAAAGGGAAUUUUCAGUGGAGCGGUGAAAUGUGUAGAGAUUGAAAAGAACGCCAAAAGCGAAAGCACUUUACUGGGCCAUAACUGACACUCAGAGACGAAAGCUAGGGGAG
RNAcentral lists this ribosomal RNA (245 nucleotides) under uncultured bacterium. RNAcentral describes it as "partial 16S ribosomal RNA". It matches the Rfam family "Bacterial small subunit ribosomal RNA", at positions 524 to 768 of the family's 1533-position model. The record is from RNAcentral.